GAAGCAUGUGAAAAGCUGUAAGUAAAAUGGAAACAGAUUUAAGAUAUAACUAGGUUCUAGGCUGAUUGAUUAAAACAAACACAAUGUCUGUAAGAAAAUUAUUCUUAAGAGGUCUUAUAAAGGCAAAGAGAAUCAAUUUUAAGGUGUUAAACAACAGAUAAGAGCCAGGAGUGGUGGCGCCUUUAACUCCUACACUCGCAGCACUUCGGAAGCAGAGGAAGAUUCCUGUGAAAUAGAGGCCAGCCUGGACUACACACUAAUCAUUUUUGACUAAUGGAGUCUUCAACCAAGCCAGGCACAAAAGGUGUCUGCCCAGGAACACUGAAUCAGUAAGUGCCUCCCCCAAGCUAUAAUGAAGAGCACCAAGAAGCCAUGAGCCCAGCUUGCCUUCAUUUACUAUCCUUGGAAUGUGAAGGAGCAAGAAGUUCACAUCCUGUCAUCAUCUGCAUAUUCCUAAUUUCUCAUCAUAAAUGUCACUUAAGAAUACCAAUGCAAAUGCAAAGUCUGCAAAGAAUUCCCUGAUUGCCUAUUGUUCCUGGAACUUUCCUCACACAUUUGCUUGUAAUUAUUGGGCUAGCCUUUCUUGCUUUAAAUGAUCAUAAGCCUUAUGAUAGCCAAAGCUAUGUGUGAUUAUAAUUGUAUUUUUCAAAGAAAUAUUUUUGUUGCAAUUAUCUCCAAUGUUUAUUAAUUGUAUACCUUGUUUUGUUGUUUGUAUAUUUUCUGUUCAUCUAUUUUUCUGAUGAAAUUUUAUCUCAAGGAAGGAAGGAAAAGAAAAAUGGGAGGUUUAUGGAAUGCCCAUGGUAUAUUAAGUUGUUUUACAGUCUAGCGUGUUUAAUUAUCACAGCUACACAGACUCUUGUAUAAGUGAUUUUAAUUGAGAUAUUGUUGUUAAAUCACCAAGUUAAUUAGCAGACUUGGAAAGUAAACUAGAUUCAAAUGGUCUUUAGUUUUUACUCCUAAUUUAAUUUUCACUGCUAUCAAAAUAGCUCACAGUUACUCUUCUUCCUUGCUUCUAAACUCAGAAGCAUGAUUUCUUCACUCAGAAAUUUAUAUCUAAUUCUAUAUUAGUCUCAUUUAGUUGAAAAAAAUCAGCUUUUAACUCUAAGACAGUUGUAUGCCUUGAUUACAAUUAAAUGAAAUGUUGAGGCUUACUCUAAGGAAAUUAGUUUAAAAAUAAAUUCAAACAUCAUUUCCAUUGAUUAACAAAAUUCUCUCAAAAUUAUUGAAGUGAUAGAAGAGAAUUUGAAUGUCUUCAAAUAAGAGUCAGGUGAUCAACAUUCAUGUCCACUUAUAAUCAAGUUUUACAUUAUUUUUUCACCUCAGUGGUAUUUGCUUAAUUGGAAAAGAAACAAAUUUCAUGAUUCUCCAAGGGAAUGAUACAAGCACAUUGGUGAGGAGACUCUGGAGUAGCUCAGUUCUUCAUCACCGAGAGUAAUAUUGAAGAAGGGAAGGCAAUGGUGGAGCAUUAUCUACAGUGGUUACAAAGUGAUAAGGAAUGGCGCUCAAUUUAUUUCUUCUGUUUCUAAAAUGGAAAGUAGCAAACUAUGACAUUACAUUAAAUGAUGUAUGUGCA
Nannospalax galili (Upper Galilee mountains blind mole rat) is the source of this 1573-nucleotide long non-coding RNA. RefSeq lists it as uncharacterized. The record is from RefSeq and is a predicted model, not a curated record. NCBI's taxonomy places the organism in Eukaryota, Metazoa, Chordata, Mammalia, Rodentia, Spalacidae. The transcript is spliced from 3 exons.